CCUACGGGUGGCAGCAGUGAGGAAUAUUGGUCAAUGGGCGGAAGCCUGAACCAGCCAAGUCGCGUGAGGGAUUAAGGCCCUGCGGGUCGUAAACCUCUUUUGCCGGGGAGCAGUGGUCCGGUCGCGUCCGGACCGGGAGAGUACCCGGAGAAAACGCAUCGGCUAACUCCGUGCCAGCAGCCGCGGUAAUACGGGGUUUGCGAGCGUUAUCCGGAUUUAUGGGGUUUAGAGGGUGCGUAGGCGGGAAUUUAAGCCGUCGGUAAAAGGUCGGGGCUCAACCCCGGCCUGCCGUCGGAACUGGGUGCCUUGAGUGGGCGAGAAGUAUGCGGAAUGCGUGGUGUAGCGGGGAAAUGCAUAGAUAGCACGCAGAACCCCGAUUGCGAAGGCAGCAUACCGGCGCCCUACUGACGCUGAGGCACGAAAGUGCGGGUAUCGAACAGGAUUAGAUACCCCUGUAGUC
Molecule: ribosomal RNA, 460 nt
Filed under: uncultured bacterium
Lineage: Bacteria
Description: partial 16S ribosomal RNA
Rfam family: Bacterial small subunit ribosomal RNA
Source: RNAcentral